AAUCAACGCUGGCGGCGCGCUUAACACAUGCAAGUCGCACGAGAAAGGGAGCAAUCCUGAGUAAAGUGGCGUACGGGUGAGUAACACGUGGAUCAUCUACCUUUUAGUGGGGAAUACCUCCGGGAAACUGGAGACAAUACCGCAUAAGCUCGAAAGAGGAAAGCAGCAAUGCGCUGAAAGAGGAGUCCGCGGCAGAUUAGCUAGAUGGCGGGGUAACGGCCCACCAUGGCGAAGAUCUGUAGCCGGCCUGAGAGGGCUCACGGCCACACUGGCACUGAAACACGGGCCAGACUCCUACGGGAGGCAGCAGUGGGGAAUCUUGUACAAUGGAGGAAACUCUGAUGCAGCGACGCCGCGUGAGUGAUGAAGCCCCUCGGGGUGUAAAACUCUUUCGACGGGAACGAUAAUGACGGUACCCGAAGAAGAAGCUGCGGCUAACUACGUGCCAGCAGCCGCGGUAAUACGUAGGCAGCAAGCGUUGUUCGGAAUUACUGGGCGUAAAGAGUGUGUAGGCGGUGCUCUAAGUUUGGUGUGAAAUCUCCCGGCUCAACUGGGAGGGUGCGCCGAAAACUGGAGUGCUAGAGGGUGGGAGAGGCAAGCGGAAUUCCUGGUGUAGCGGUGAAAAUGCGUAGAUAUCAGGAGGAAACACCUGUGGUGUAGACAGCUUGCUGGACCAUUUCUGACGCUGAGACACGAAAAGCGUGGGGUAGCAAAACAGGAUU
Molecule: ribosomal RNA, 722 nt
Filed under: uncultured bacterium
Lineage: Bacteria
Description: bacterial SSU rRNA
Rfam family: Bacterial small subunit ribosomal RNA
Source: RNAcentral